RNA transcript from Carassius gibelio (silver crucian carp), 2563 nucleotides. RefSeq lists it as uncharacterized. The transcript is spliced from 8 exons. The record is from RefSeq and is a predicted model, not a curated record. Lineage: Eukaryota; Metazoa; Chordata; Actinopteri; Cypriniformes; Cyprinidae.
GAUUGAGACUGCAGACACUACAGCCUUGCUUGAGCUUUCUGAAAGAAUCGUAGCAUGUGGUACACAGGAUCCUAACAUGUGAUGAAAGGAAGACAUUGUCAGGAGCGAGGACUUUGACAGAACGGGGCACAAUGUCCAGAUUAAAGAUGCUGUUGUGCCAAACAUUUUAACUUUCCAGCUCAUCUUCAAAGGGUCUGUGUAUCACUGACCAACAAUAAUUCAAGGUGGCUGGAAUAACAACCCUAAUGUCGUCCAGUUAAAGUAGAUCUUUAGGAAGCUGAUGUUAAACAGAGGCAAUGUGACGGCGCAGGAUGAGUCCCUACCAUCUGUCCUCAACACCUCUUCAAACCUGUCAGAUAUGAGGAGAAGAUCUUCCAUCCACGUUUGCUGAUAUUCCUGCCCUAGUACAUGACCACAGCUACCUUCCCGUCCGAUUCGAUGGUCUUGUGGACAACAGUCUCUUGUACAUUUCAAGAUGUACAAUUAUACAAGUCUUGCAUAAUUAUGGGCUGAAAUUCAACAUAGUUGUAUAUUUAAGACAUGAAUAUUUCAAUUAAAAACAUUUCAAACUGAUUUUCAUAAUUAAAAAUUCAAGAAUUAAUAUUCACCUUUCAGAUUUCACUUCCAAAAUAUUCGAUCUAUUUAAAAAUACAACCUAUAAUAUUCAACAGGCAAGUUUCAGUCCAUUUUAUUUCGCUUUACAAAUUCGCUUCCACAAAUUCAGUGGUUCAAAUUCGACAGUAAAUUCACCGUUUCACAUCCGGGAACAACAGGAAAAUCAGUAGAUUACCGAUCACAAUCUCAUCUGCUGUAAAUCGUCUUCACCGGCAGGGGGUGCAAGCGCUACUUUGUCUUAACAAGCAUCAACGAAACCGUCACGAGAGGCCUUCAUAAAACAUCAUUUGACGAAAUGGACCGAGCGCAUUUGCUUUUGGAUUAUGUUUUGGAAAGACUCCGUUCACGCUUGGAAAAUGCUGUUGGACGCCAACCCCUUGACAUGGACUACCUGGAGUUCAUCUGCUCUCAAGAAUUAGUCUUUUUAAGUGCUGUGACCAAUUUAGUUACCAUCCCAGCUGAUAUUUUGGAGGGCAUCACAGAACUGUCAGACUAGUUCGACUAAACCUGUCAGACGGGGAGACGCGCACUUCGACUAUUCUGCAGGAGUCAGGGUCGAUGGGACGACCACGUCUUCUAAUCUCACCAGACUACAUCACCAAUCUCCUGGACAUGAACUUUUCUGUUCCAACCAUUGCUCGCAUGAUUGGAGUAAGUACUCGCGCAGUUUUCAGACGAAUGGCUGAAUGUAACCUCUCCAUUCGGGCGCGAUAUAGCACUCUCACGGACGAAGAGUUAGAUGAUUGUGUGACAGAUGUAAAGCAACACAUGCCUCAGUGUGGAUACAGAAUGAUGAGAGCAGCUGUAAAGGACACCAAGUGCAGUUCGACCGGGUCAGGGCAGAUACAGUGGGAGUCAUGUCCCGAAGGGCACAGUUGGGCUGCGUGGUACGAAGGACCCAUUCAGUGUCGGGUCCUAGGUCAAUAAUGCACAUUGACACCAACUAUAAACGGAUUCACUACAAUAUAGUCAUCUUUGGGUGUGGAUGGCUUUUCACGCAAGAUAAUGUACCUUGGAGCUUCAUCUAAUAAACUUGCUAAAACCACCUUGGAUUUUUUUCAAGAAGCAGCGGAGACAUUUGGCUUCCCUCUCAGGGUACUAGGAGAUCAGGGUGUUGAAAAUGUGGACGUGGCUCGCCUGAUGUUCACAGUUCGUGGGACAGAAAGAGGAAGCUUUAUUUCAGGAAAGAGCGUCCACAAUCAGCGUAUAGAGAGGUUGUGGAGAGACGUCUGGUCAUCAGUGACAAAUGUCUACUACGAUGUUCUGCAUGCUUUGGAAGAAGGUGGCCACCUUAAUAUUUCUGACCUUACUCAUCUGUUCUGUUGCCACUGUGUAUUUCUCCCACGGCUUCAAGAUGAUCUCAACCUAUUCCGAAACACCUGGGACAAUCACCCAAUACGCACAGAGGGUAAUAUGUCUCCUAACCAGCUGUGGGUGAUGGGAAGUGUCCGCAAUGCUGUACCUGAGCCUGACAUAGAGCUAUGUUUGUGGAUUUUGACAGUAAAAACUUUUGAGUAAUCACACUGUAUUCAAUACAAGAUAUUACAUUUUUAUACUGUAUUGAUGAAACGUUAUUCUGUGUUCAGAACUGUAAUUGGUAUCUCAUUUGUGACAUAAAAUGCUGUGUUAUUGUUUGAAGGGAUUCAGCACACCACAGAUAGACUGGGAGAGUAGUGGACUGAUGUUGAUGCACAUUCCAGCGUUGUUGUGCCUCAAACCCAAUGUCCCCUGACUGAUGAGCGAAUAGAAGCACUCAGAGAAAAUGUUGACCCCAAAGGACCUUCACAGACUUUUGGCUGGGACAUCUAUCUAGCUGCACUUCAUUUUUGCCAAUCGAUUAUGGAAUAAAUGUGAUUGUCAUCUUUAGCCUUAAAGAGGCAGACUUCUAGCAGAAGCAAUUAAGAAAGAAUUAAUAUUUGUACUCAAUACGUUAAAGUAUCUGAAUAAA